GGGCGAAUAGCUCAGCGGUAGAGCGCCUCCCUUACAAGGAGGAUGUCGGGGGUUCAAAUCCCUCUUCGCCCACCA
RNAcentral lists this transfer RNA (75 nucleotides) under Armatimonadota bacterium. Its description in RNAcentral is "Armatimonadetes bacterium (sediment metagenome) tRNA-Val". It matches the Rfam family "tRNA". Rfam says of the family: Transfer RNA (tRNA) molecules are approximately 80 nucleotides in length. Lineage: Bacteria; Bacillati; Armatimonadota. The record is from RNAcentral.